This 1003-nucleotide ribosomal RNA is filed under the name human gut metagenome. RNAcentral's name for it is "bacterial SSU rRNA". It matches the Rfam family "Bacterial small subunit ribosomal RNA", at positions 357 to 1361 of the family's 1533-position model. The record is from RNAcentral.
AGGAAUAUUGGUCAAUGGGCGUAAGCCUGAACCAGCCAAGUAGCGUGAGGGAAGACUGCCCUAUGGGUUGUAAACCUCUUUUGUGCGGGGAUAAAGUGUGGGACGUGUCCCAUAUUGCAGGUACCGCACGAAUAAGGACCGGCUAAUUCCGUGCCAGCAGCCGCGGUAAUACGGAAGGUCCGGGCGUUAUCCGGAUUUAUUGGGUUUAAAGGGAGCGCAGGCCGUCCUUUAAGCGUGCUGUGAAAUGCCGCGGCUCAACCGUGGCACUGCAGCGCGAACUGGAGGACUUGAGUACGCACGAGGUAGGCGGAAUUCGUGGUGUAGCGGUGAAAUGCUUAGAUAUCACGAAGAACUCCGAUUGCGAAGGCAGCUUACCGGAGCGCAACUGACGCUGAGGCUCGAAAGCGCGGGUAUCGAACAGGAUUAGAUACCCUGGUAGUCCGCGCGGUAAACGAUGGAUGCCCGCCGUUGGGUUUUAGAAUUCAGCGGCCAAGCGAAAGCGUUAAGCAUCCCACCUGGGGAGUACGCCGGCAACGGUGAAACUCAAAGGAAUUGACGGGGGCUCGCACAAGCGGAGGAACAUGUGGUUUAAUUCGAUGAUACGCGAGGAACCUUACCCGGGCUUGAAUUGCAGGAGAACGAUCCAGAGAUGGUGAGGCCCUUCGGGGCUCCUGUGAAGGUGCUGCAUGGUUGUCGUCAGCUCGUGCCGUGAGGUGUCGGCUCAAGUGCCAUAACGAGCGCAACCCCUGUCCAUAGUUGCCAUCAGGUCGUGCUGGGCACUCUGUGGAGACUGCCGCCGUAAGGUGUGAGGAAGGUGGGGAUGACGUCAAAUCAGCACGGCCCUUACGUCCGGGGCUACACACGUGUUACAAUGGGGCAUACAGCGAGUUGGAUGUGCGCAAGUACGUCCGGAUCAAUAAAGUGCCUCUCAGUUCGGACUGGGGUCUGCAACCCGACCCCACGAAGCUGGAUUCGCUAGUAAUCGCGCAUCAGCCAUGGCGCG